Molecule: ribosomal RNA, 253 nt
Filed under: uncultured bacterium
Lineage: Bacteria
Description: partial 16S ribosomal RNA
Rfam family: Bacterial small subunit ribosomal RNA
Source: RNAcentral
GACGUAGGGGGCUAGCGUUGUUCGGAAUUACUGGGCGUAAAGCGCGUGUAGGUGGUUGUCCACGUUGGUUGUGAAAGCCUUGAGCUCAACUCAAGAAAUGCAUUCAGGACUGAGCGGCUGGAGUGCCGGAGAGGAACGCGGAAUUCCUGGUGUAGCGGUGAAAUGCGUAGAUAUCAGGAGGAACACCAGUGGUGUAGACGGCGUUCUGGACGGUUACUGACGCUGAGAUACGAAAGCGUGGGGAGCAAACAGG